CUAAUUCAGCAUGUGUUAUCAAUGAUCUAUCCUAAUUAUCGUUUACCUCCCCACAGGUUAAUUAAGGUGCUGAGUAAUGUGGUUUUCACUUUUGCCACAUAGCAGGGUCACAGCAGCUUUGUCUGUAAUCAGAUUUACCCGUCUGUGACUAUUUCCAAAAGAAGUCCCUGGAGUGAUUCAAGAAGUCACUUGAAAUGAUUCCAUGAAGAGAGAAUGGGAUAACUAUAAUAUUUACUUCUUCCUGUUUGCCAGGCCAAAAGGAGCUGGAAAGGAAAGGAGGAAUGCAAGCAGGUAUUCAGGAGUGCUGCUCCUCAUGUCAGGACAUUUUCUGCCACCAGCCCACCAGGACAGCUGGUGACAUUUCACUGGGGAUGUUCCAGAGCCUUCUGGCCACAAUCCUGUGCUCUGGGAUGACCUUGCUGGAGCAGGGACCAUGGACCCACUGUGGCCCAUUCUGGGAUUCUGUGAAACCAAGGCCAGCCAAGGACUGGAGGAGAGUUCCCAUUCCCUUGAAAUUCCCUCAUCCUAGUCCAGGCUUGGGGGAUUGCUGGACUGGAACAGAAUAGGCUGCUCAACCCUUGUCGUGAGAGGACUCAGCGCCUUGGAAUUACAGCUGGGAAAUGCCUUUGGAAAAACAGAGGAUGUGCUGGAGGAAGAUAGUGUUGUCUCUCUGGCCUGGCAGGUUUGCAUAGGUUCUGUGGGACUUUUCUUCUGACAUCUCAUCUCUUGUGAGCUCAUCUCUUAUGGUCUGCAACAGGGAACAAGAGUUUCCUAACCCUUUAGCAGCUGUGAGAUGGAGGAUGGGAUUUUUCCAAAGCACACACCCUGUGAACUGCCCUUCUGUGGAAAUAAGUGGUGAGCAGUCUCAAUUUUUGUGGGAUCAGGGUCAGAGCAACAACAGGAUUUUUGUAGAAUCCCACAGAUCAAGCCAAGAUUUGAGCACUCACCAUCCUGAAUUCUCUUUAAGGACAAGAAGGGAAAUCCCAACAGGAGACCCCAAAGGAACAUAACAUUUUCCCUGCUCAUUUCAGCACACAGUGUGGGAGCAGAGGCCUCUUGUGAACUUGCCUGAAUGCUCCUACCUCUGUUUGUUGUGCAAAAGAUGGAAUCUGAACAAAAAUGGGUUUUCUCAGAUAUAUCCAUGUGUGAUCUUGAGUUAAAUGUCUUGAAGUAUCAGGGCAUUUUAUGAAUCACCUUUGCUCUAGAGUGCAGACAGUGACAUUGGUCAUAGAAGGAACAGAUUUCUCCCAAAAUAAUCACAAUAACAAUCAUAAUGAAAGGGACCUUAAAGCCCAUCCCAUCCCACCCCCUGCCAUGGCAGGGACACCUUCCACUAGCCCAGGUUGCUCCAACCUGGCCUUGGGCACUUCCAGGAAUCCAGGGGCAGCCAGAGCUUCUGUGGACAACCUGUGCCAGGGCCUCCCCACCCUCACAAGGGAGGAUUCCUUCUUUUCCUGGCCCUGAAAUCCAUGUCACUAGGCUGCAGAGUUAAAAGAAUGGGGAAAAAAACCCAAACCAAGCCAAAAAAAAAACCCCAAACAAACAAACAAAAGCCAAAACUCCAACCCCAACAACAACAAAAAAAAACCCUCAACAAGAAAAACCCAACAAAAAACCCCAAACUGAAGUUCUAUUUCUCUUAGUUAUUUUAAUGAAGAGAUUGGAAAUUUCAGCCUCUGAUCAAUGACAUGGGAGACUGAAACUUGCAGAUGAAGGAAGUGGGUGACUCCUGUCUGAAAUAUUUGUAAUGUAGAUAGAUCAAGGUGGUGCUGAGGGAGGGGGGCAUAAAAUGAUAUAUUUUGCUGAACUAUAAGUCACCAAGUGGUUACUUGAUCAGAAUUUCCACCAGAAUUCAGCCCAGGUUGAUUCAUCUGCCUAAGGUUGUUUCUCCAUUGG
Molecule: long non-coding RNA, 1896 nt
Organism: Passer domesticus (house sparrow)
Lineage: Eukaryota; Metazoa; Chordata; Aves; Passeriformes; Passeridae
Exons: 3
Source: RefSeq, a predicted model, not a curated record